AAUAGAUACCCAGGUAGUCCACGCCGUAAACGAUGGAUGCUAGCUGUUAGGAGUAUCGACCCUUCUAGUAGCGAAGCUAACGCGUUAAGCAUCCCGCCUGGGGAGUACGGUCGCAAGAUUAAAACUCAAAGGAAUUGACGGGGACCCGCACAAGCGGUGGAGCGUGUUCUUUAAUUCGAUGAUAAGCGAAGAACCUUACCAGGGCUUGACAUCCUUGGAAUUUCUGCGAAAGCAGAGAGUGCCUUUUGGAACCAAGUGACAGGUGUUGCAUGGCCGUCGUCAGCUCGUGUCGUGAGAUGUUUGGUUAAGUCCAUCAACGAGCGCAAUCCUUAUGAUUAGUUGAAUUUUUCUAAUUAGACUGCCUCGGUAACGGGGAGGAAGGAGGGGAUGAUGUCAGGUCAUUAUUACCCGUUACGUCCUGGGCUAGAAACGCGCUACAAUGGCUGGUACAAAGGGCUGCCAACCCGCGAGGGGGAGCAAAUCCCAUCAAAGCCAGUCCCAGUUCGGAUUGCAGGCCGUAAGUAACGUCCGUCGUCGACUAGUAGUACGGUACGUACG
Molecule: ribosomal RNA, 558 nt
Filed under: uncultured bacterium
Lineage: Bacteria
Description: bacterial SSU rRNA
Rfam family: Bacterial small subunit ribosomal RNA
Source: RNAcentral